GACGAACGCUGGCGGCGUGCUUAACACAUGCAAGUCGAACGGAAAGGCCCUGCUUUUGUGGGGUGCUCGAGUGGCGAACGGGUGAGUAACACGUGAGUAACCUGCCCUUGACUUUGGGAUAACUUCAGGAAACUGGGGCUAAUACCGGAUAGGAGCUCCUGCUGCAUGGUGGGGGUUGGAAAGUUUCGGCGGGUGGGGAUGGACUCGCGGCUUAUCAGCUUGUUGGUGGGGGAGUGGCUUACCAAGGCUUUGACGGGUAGCCGGCCUGAGAGGGUGACCGGCCACCUUGGGCCUGCGAUACGGCCCAGACUCCUACGGGAGGCAGCAGUGGGGAAUAUUGCACAAUGGGCGGAAGCCUGAUGCAGCAACGCCGCGUGCGGGAUGACGGCCUUCGGGUUGUAAACCGCUUUCGCCUGUGACGAAGCGUGAGUGACGGUAAUGGGUAAAGAAGCACCGGCUAACUACGUG
This 468-nucleotide ribosomal RNA is filed under the name uncultured bacterium. RNAcentral's name for it is "partial 16S ribosomal RNA". It matches the Rfam family "Bacterial small subunit ribosomal RNA", at positions 28 to 507 of the family's 1533-position model. The record is from RNAcentral.